RNAcentral lists this ribosomal RNA (454 nucleotides) under uncultured Rikenellaceae bacterium. RNAcentral describes it as "partial 16S ribosomal RNA". It matches the Rfam family "Bacterial small subunit ribosomal RNA", at positions 341 to 792 of the family's 1533-position model. The record is from RNAcentral. Lineage: Bacteria; Pseudomonadati; Bacteroidota; Bacteroidia; Bacteroidales; Rikenellaceae.
ACGGGAGGCAGCAGUGAGGAAUAUUGGUCAAUGGUCGGAAGACUGAACCAGCCAUGCCGCGUGCAGGAAUAAGGCCCUAUGGGUCGUAAACUGCUUUUGACGCAGAGCAAUAAGGUCCACGCGUGGACCGAUGAGAGUAUGUGUCGAAUAAGCAUCGGCUAACUCCGUGCCAGCAGCCGCGGUAAUACGGAGGAUGCAAGCGUUAUCCGGAUUUAUUGGGUUUAAAGGGUGCGUAGGCUGUGCGACAAGUCAGCGGUGAAAGCCCGGGGCCUAACUCCGGAACUGCCGUUGAUACUGCCGCGCUGGAAUACGGAUGCCGUGGGAGGAAUGAGUAGUGUAGCGGUGAAAUGCAUAGAUAUUACUCAGAACACCGAUUGCGAAGGCAUCUCACGAAUCCGUCAUUGACGCUGAGGCACGAAAGCGUGGGGAUCAAACAGGAUUAGAUACCCUGGUA